Molecule: ribosomal RNA, 253 nt
Filed under: uncultured bacterium
Lineage: Bacteria
Description: partial 16S ribosomal RNA
Rfam family: Bacterial small subunit ribosomal RNA
Source: RNAcentral
UACGUAGGGACCAAGCGUUGUUCGGAUUUACUGGGCGUAAAGGGCGCGUAGGCGGCGUGGUAAGUCACUUGUGAAAUCUCUGAGCUUAACUCAGAACGGCCAAGUGAUACUGCUGUGCUAGAGUGCAGAAGGGGCAAUCGGAAUUCUUGGUGUAGCGGUGAAAUGCGUAGAUAUCAAGAGGAACACCUGAGGUGAAGACGGGUUGCUGGGCUGACACUGACGCUGAGGCGCGAAAGCGUGGGGAGCGAACCGG